GACGAACGCUGGCGGCGUGCUUAACACAUGCAAGUCGAACGGAAAGACCCUGCUUUUGUGGGGUUCUCGAGUGGCGAACGGGUGAGUAACACGUGAGUAACCUGCCCUUGACUUUGGGAUAACUUCAGGAAACUGGGGCUAAUACCGGAUAGGAGCUCCUGCUGCAUGGUGUGGGUUGGAAAGUUUCGGCGGUUGGGGAUGGACUCGCGGCUUAUCCGCUUGUUGGUGGGGUAGUGGCUUACCAAGGCUUUGACGGGUAGCCGGCCUGAGAGGGUGACCGGCCACAUUGGGACUGAGAUACGGCCCAGACUCCUACGGGAGGCAGCAGUGGGGAAUAUUGCACAAUGGGCGGAAGCCUGAUGCAGCAACGCCGCGUGCGGGAUGACGGCCUUCGGGUUGUAAACCGCUUUCGCCUGUGACGAAGCGUGAGUGACGGUAAUGGGUAAAGAAGCACCGGCUAACUACGUG
RNAcentral lists this ribosomal RNA (468 nucleotides) under uncultured bacterium. RNAcentral's name for it is "partial 16S ribosomal RNA". It matches the Rfam family "Bacterial small subunit ribosomal RNA", at positions 28 to 507 of the family's 1533-position model. The record is from RNAcentral.